Anopheles funestus (African malaria mosquito) is the source of this 519-nucleotide long non-coding RNA. RefSeq lists it as uncharacterized. Lineage: Eukaryota; Metazoa; Arthropoda; Insecta; Diptera; Culicidae. The transcript is spliced from 3 exons. The record is from RefSeq and is a predicted model, not a curated record.
AUGUGUCUUGGCUAAUGUGUCUUGGCUAAGGUGUCUUGGCUAAUGUGUCUUGGCUAAUGUGUCUUGGCUAAUGUGUCCUGGCUAAUGUGUCUUGGCUAAUGUGUCUUGGCUAAUGUGUCUUGGCUAAUGUGUCUCGGCUAAGGUGUCUUGGCUAAUGUGUCUUGGCUAAUGUGUCUUGGCUAAAGUGUCUUGGCUAAGGUGUCUUGGCUUAUGUGUCUUGGCUAAUGUGUCUUGGCUAAUGUGUCUUUGCUAAUGUGUCUUGGCUAAUGUGUCUUGGCUAAGGUGUCUUGGCUAAUGUGUCUUGGCUAAGGUGUCUUGGCUAAUGUGUCUUGGCUGAUGUGUCUUGGCUAAUGUGUUUUGGCUAAGGUGUCUUGGCUAAUGUGUCUUGGCUAAUGUGUCUUGGCUAAGGUGUCUUGGCUAAGGUGUCUUGGCUAAUGUGUCCUGGCUAAUGUGUCUUGGCUAAUGUGUCUUGGCUAAUGUGUCUUGGCUAAUGUGUCUUGGCUAAGGUGUCUUGUCUAA